This 589-nucleotide long non-coding RNA is filed under the name Brassica rapa (field mustard). RNAcentral's name for it is "long non-coding RNA (BRAP_LNC007746)". Lineage: Eukaryota; Viridiplantae; Streptophyta; Magnoliopsida; Brassicales; Brassicaceae. The record is from RNAcentral.
UCUGCUGGUAUGACCUCUGGUCUUAUACGCUUCUCAAACUCAUUGUCAGGAACAACCUCAGGUGCUUUUGGAGGCAACGGAUUGUCAUUCUUGUUUGAAGGAAGCGAUUUUUCCAGCUCAUUUUUGUUUUCAGGAGAAUAUGAUUCAGGUUUUGACUCGCUCUUUGAACAUACCUCUCCUCCUUUUCUCUUAGAGUCAGUGUUUGUGUCUAGCUUUAAGGAGUCUUCAGAUGAUCUGCUUCCACCUUCUUGGAAUAUACUCAGUCCAUGAGACAAGCUGGGGGAAGAUCAAGAAUCAGUUAGUUAGUAGCUAAGAAUAAAUAAACCGAUUCUAAAACUUAUCGUUUGGCUAUUUCUCAUAGUUUAUAAUAACAUAAUUAAUGAGUAUCAAAAAAAUAAUUUACCUUUUAGAAGAUAUAACAAGCUUUCCAUUUCUGUAUUCAGGUUCUUUGGUGUGUAUCAAAUGAUAAGAUAUUGCAGAAACCACAAUCUGCUCAAUGUGGUUGCUCAAACACAUUGUAUCAGCAUGGCAUAUCGAAGCUAAGUCAUCGCAUUGGAUAUCAUUAGCAGCAAGAACCUCUGCGAUGUGG